Molecule: ribosomal RNA, 556 nt
Filed under: Papiliotrema laurentii
Lineage: Eukaryota; Fungi; Basidiomycota; Tremellomycetes; Tremellales; Rhynchogastremaceae
Description: eukaryotic LSU rRNA
Rfam family: Eukaryotic large subunit ribosomal RNA
Source: RNAcentral
GCUCAAAUUUGAAAUCUGGCGUCCUCAGGGCGUCCGAGUUGUAAUCUAUAGAGGCGUUUUCCGUGCCGGACCGUGUCCAAGUUCCUUGGAACAGGAUAUCAAAGAGGGUGACAAUCCCGUACUUGACACGACGACCGGUGCUCUGUGAUACGUCUUCUACGAGUCGAGUUGUUUGGGAAUGCAGCUCAAAAUGGGUGGUGAGUUCCAUCUAAAGCUAAAUAUUGGCGAGAGACCGAUAGCGAACAAGUACCGUGAGGGAAAGAUGAAAAGCACUUUGGAAAGAGAGUUAAACAGUACGUGAAAUUGUUGAAAGGGAAACGAUUGAAGUCAGUCGUGACCGAGAGGCUCAGCCGGUUCUGCCGGUGUAUUCCCCUCGGUCGGGUCAACAUCAGUUUUGUCCGGUGGAUAAGGGCGGUAGGAAGGUGGCACCCUCGGGUGUGUUAUAGCCUGCCGUCGCAUACAUCGGGUGAGACUGAGGAACGCAGCUCGCCUUUAUGGCCGGGGUUCGCCCACGUCCGAGCUUAGGAUGUUGACAUAAUGGCUUUAAACGACCCGU